GUUGCUUCUUAUGGUGAACUCUCUUUAUAAGUGAGCAAUGUUCAUGUUUCUGGAGCAUAAAUGAACUGUCAGCACUAAACAGUCUUUAAACCUGUCUCCUGAUACAUUC
Non-coding RNA from Solanum lycopersicum (tomato), 109 nucleotides. Lineage: Eukaryota; Viridiplantae; Streptophyta; Magnoliopsida; Solanales; Solanaceae. The record is from Rfam.